AGAGUUUGAUCCUGGCUCAGAUUGAACGCUGGCGGCAGGCCUAACACAUGCAAGUCGAGCGGCAGCACAAGGGAGUUUACUCCUGAGGUGGCGAGCGGCGGACGGGUGAGUAAUGCCUAGGGAUCUGCCCAGUCGAGGGGGAUAACAGUUGGAAACGACUGCUAAUACCGCAUACGCCCUACGGGGGAAAGGAGGGGACCUUCGGGCCUUCCGCGAUUGGAUGAACCUAGGUGGGAUUAGCUAGUUGGUGAGGUAAUGGCUCACCAAGGCGACGAUCCCUAGCUGUUCUGAGAGGAUGAUCAGCCACACUGGGACUGAGACACGGCCCAGACUCCUACGGGACGCAGCAG
Molecule: ribosomal RNA, 350 nt
Filed under: uncultured bacterium
Lineage: Bacteria
Description: bacterial SSU rRNA
Rfam family: Bacterial small subunit ribosomal RNA
Source: RNAcentral